GAAAAGAAACCAACAGGGAUUGCCUCAGUAACGGCGAGUGAAGCGGCAAAAGCUCAAAUUUGAAAUCUAGCACCUUCGGUGUUCGAGUUGUAAUUUGAAGAUGGUAACCUUGGGUUUGGCUCUUGUCUAUGUUCCUUGGAACAGGACGUCAUAGAGGGUGAGAAUCCCGUCUGAUGAGAUGCCCAUUCCUAUGUAAGGUGCUAUCGAAGAGUCGAGUUGUUUGGGAAUGCAGCUCUAAGUGGGUGGUAAAUUCCAUCUAAAGCUAAAUAUUGGCGAGAGACCGAUAGCGAACAAGUACAGUGAUGGAAAGAUGAAAAGAACUUUGAAAAGAGAGUGAAAAAGUACGUGAAAUUGUUGAAAGGGAAGGGCAUUAGAUCAGACUUGGUGUUUUACGAUUAUCUUCUCUUCUUGAGUUGUGCACUCGUAUUUCACUGGGCCAGCAUCGAUUCGGAUGGCAAGAUAAUGGCAGUUGAAUGUGGCUUCACUUCGGUGGAGUGUUAUAGCUUCUGCUGAUAUUGCCUGUCUGGAUCGAGGGCUGCGUCUUUUGACUAGGAUGCUGGCGUAAUGAUCUAAUGCCGCCCG
Molecule: ribosomal RNA, 582 nt
Filed under: Hansenula anomala
Lineage: Eukaryota; Fungi; Ascomycota; Saccharomycetes; Phaffomycetales; Wickerhamomycetaceae
Description: LSU rRNA
Rfam family: Eukaryotic large subunit ribosomal RNA
Source: RNAcentral